UGGCUCAGUGGUUAAGAGCACUAGAUUGCUCUUCCAGAGGUCCUGAGUUCAAAUCCCAG
Molecule: transfer RNA, 59 nt
Filed under: Rattus norvegicus (Norway rat)
Lineage: Eukaryota; Metazoa; Chordata; Mammalia; Rodentia; Muridae
Rfam family: tRNA
About the family: Transfer RNA (tRNA) molecules are approximately 80 nucleotides in length. Their secondary structure includes four short double-helical elements and three loops (D, anti-codon, and T loops). Further hydrogen bonds mediate the characteristic L-shaped molecular structure. tRNAs have two regions of fundamental functional importance: the anti-codon, which is responsible for specific mRNA codon recognition, and the 3' end, to which the tRNAs corresponding amino acid is attached (by aminoacyl-tRNA synthetases). tRNAs cope with the degeneracy of the genetic code in two manners: having more than one tRNA (with a specific anti-codon) for a particular amino acid; and 'wobble' base-pairing, i.e. permitting non-standard base-pairing at the 3rd anti-codon position.
Source: Rfam by way of RNAcentral